Molecule: ribosomal RNA, 250 nt
Filed under: uncultured bacterium
Lineage: Bacteria
Description: partial 16S ribosomal RNA
Rfam family: Bacterial small subunit ribosomal RNA
Source: RNAcentral
GACGAACGCUGGCGGCGCGCCUAACACAUGCAAGUCGAACGGAGUCAAGAGGAGCUUGCUUUUCUUGACUUAGUGGCGAACGGGUGAGUAACGCGUGAGUAACCUGCCCUGAAGUGGGGGACAACAGUUGGAAACGACUGCUAAUACCGCAUAAGCCCACGAUCCGGCAUCGGAUUGAGGGAAAAGGAUUUAUUCGCUUCAGGAUGGACUCGCGUCCAAUUAGCUAGUUGGUGAGGUAACGGCCCACCAA